UACGGAGGGUGCGAGCGUUGUCCGGAAUCACUGGGCGUAAAGGGCGCGUAGGCGGCGCGGAUAGUCGGCGGUGAAAGCCCGGAGCUCAACUCCGGGUCGGCCGUCGAUACUUCCGGGCUUGAGCACUGUAGAGGCAGAUGGAAUUCCGGGUGUAGCGGUGGAAUGCGUAGAGAUCCGGAAGAACACCGGUGGCGAAGGCGGCCCGCUGGGGUGGAGCUGACGCUGAGGCGCGACAGCGUGGGGAGCAAACAGG
Molecule: ribosomal RNA, 253 nt
Filed under: uncultured bacterium
Lineage: Bacteria
Description: partial 16S ribosomal RNA
Rfam family: Bacterial small subunit ribosomal RNA
Source: RNAcentral